UCAUAGUUUAAUGGAAUCUAAUCAUACUCAAGCACUACAAGGAUUAUUCUUCACAGUGUUAUUAGGACUAUACUUUACAAUACUUCAAGCAUAUGAAUAUUGAGAAGCACCUUUUACCAUUGCAGAUGCAGUUAUGGAUCAACAUUCUUUGUUGCAACAGGAUUCCAUGGUUUACACGUAAUUAUUGGAACAAUCUUUUUAUCAACAUGUCUACUUCGACACUUAAUAAAUCAAUUUUCACCAAGACAUCACUUUGGAUUUGAAGCAGCAGCAUGAUACUGACACUUCGUAGACGUAGUAUGAUUAUUCUUAUAUAUCUCUAUUUAUUGAUGAGGUAGAUAAUU
Schistocerca gregaria is the source of this 344-nucleotide long non-coding RNA. RefSeq lists it as uncharacterized. The record is from RefSeq and is a predicted model, not a curated record. The transcript has 2 exons. Lineage: Eukaryota; Metazoa; Arthropoda; Insecta; Orthoptera; Acrididae.